Long non-coding RNA from Oreochromis niloticus (Nile tilapia), 2247 nucleotides. The record is from Ensembl. NCBI's taxonomy places the organism in Eukaryota, Metazoa, Chordata, Actinopteri, Cichliformes, Cichlidae.
CAGGGGGCGCCCUAAAGCAACGACUGACGAAAGACGGAGCGCAAGAAUGAAGUAUUGCAACUAAAAGAAGCGCAGAGAGAAAUUUCCGUUCCCAACAAUAUCUGAGUAAAUGUUUUCUACUAAAUACAUAAAUAAAAUAAAAUGAAUCAUUUUGUGUGAAGGAUUGAACUCAGAAAAGAAAAAAAAACAUGAGCUUUACGUUUGGAGACACUGCUCGGUCACAUAUGCAGCAGCACAGCAGUGAUGAAAUGAUCACAAAGCAGCAUUAAGUGUUUUAUGAUCCUAAAGAAAUAAAUGAAAAUAAAGACGCGUGCACCAGAGAGCUUUAAUAAAGCGCGUCGUUAGGAACACACAGGUACGUUUUCUUCACGCUUCUGCUCUGAGUGCACACCGCUCGCGCGUGCACGUGCGUACGGAUGCGUGUGCGCGCAGGCGGAGGAUCGCCGCGGAGCCGUACCGUGUAGCAGGCACAAGCCGCUGGGCGCGCAGGAGAAGCCGCAAAAAAAUCCAGCAGCCGCUACUUGAAGCUGCCAGGAGCGCAGAGAACGCGUCGGAACUUCAGUGCACACGUUUCUGCAGCAAAAUGAAACGGAUCCUUCUUCUUAUCGAUGAUGCUGAACACAGUAAGCAGAGGCAUGCUGGUGCAUUUAAGGCAUGUUAGCAUAGUGAUGUUAACAUGGAGACUGUUUGAAUGGAAAUUUCUGUUCAAAGUAGCAUUAACGAUCACUGUGUGAUGCAUUUAAAUAACAGGCAGUUAUUAGAGAAACAAAGGAGAAAUAAAGGAAGCACACAGCCUGAGUAAUUCACUGACAUUCGCAGGAAACCUGAGAUAUAAAAGUACCAACUUUAUUCAGAACUGUGGAUGACGAACAGCCAUCACAGGCCGUCAGCAUUUCCCUCCUUCCUCCCCGUCACUCUCUUUUUUCCUUUAAACCUUUAAGGCAUGCCGAGUCUUGGAAACCGAACCAAACGGCAUUCCUCGCGUGAAUCUUAAACAGUCGAGGGACGGAGUCUGAAAAUAAUGAGACGGUACAACAGAGUUUAGACUCGGAGGUGUUCGGCCUCUUCGCGCGAGCGCCGCGGUCCCAGUUCUGUCAGCUCCCAUCAUCGAGAGAGAAACUGACAACGAGAAGAAAAUUACAAGAAUAUCUCUCGCCGGAUUUUUUUUUUCCUGAAGUGCGAGACGUAAUCAAAGGCCUGUCUGAAAUCCUCAGCAAUGUGUGGGACGUGUGAGACGUCGGUAAGCUGGUGGAGAUGUGUGUGUUUUUAAUGCAUGCAAGGUGAAAGUGAAGAAUUUUUACAGCACUGUGCAUAUUUGUGGUUUCUCUGACCACAUCUGAAGCUUUUAAAGCAGAAAUGUAGUUUAUUUAUAAUUUAUUUAUAUUUAUUAAAUAAUUUAUUGUUUAUUUCCCAAUAUUUUCCUGGUAUUUAUUGCUAAAUCAUCAACAACUAACACACUUGCUGAAUUAUUUUUAUGUAUAAAGAUGAAAGUUUAUUGAAUUUACGUGCAUAUUUUGCCAUGUGUUGGAUUACAUGCAUGUAGCAAUGAACUUAUUUAGCAAAAAAGAAUAAAAUAUGAAGGAAUUCAGUUAAAGAUUAGAUUAAAUAAAGUAUUCUGCUUUGGCCUUUUUAGUGUUUUCAUUCAAACUUAUUCAUUAAUAAAAUGUAAUGUAAUCAUAUACUAGAUGUAGCUUUAACAACAACCAUCAAAUAAACACAGCCUGAUUAUAACUAAUCUAAUUAAAAUGUAUUUGUAAUGAUUUUGCGUGAUCGUGUCUUUAUUUCAUUAUUGCCUUCACCUGGAACCUAUAACGAGCUCACUGGUGAUUAAAUAAUUUGGCUUUUAUUCUAGAAACAAAGCAGCCCCCAUCCAGACUAUGGGUGCCCCCCCCCACGUAUCCUCGCUGGUGCUCUCACCCCCACCCCCUGUGGCUCUUCUCGGGGUUAGCUGGAGUUGAGAGUCAACUUUGUCCUGUCUCCAUGUCUAGCCUGGCACCCAGCGCCGCUCACUCCAGGGCUGCCCCCUCCCUCUCUCUCACUCUCGCUGUCUCACUGUUGUGGCUGAAGACAGCAAACGCCCGCCACGUCCAAUUUCACUCCACCGGCGUUUGGCCGCGAGCCGCAGACACGCCGGUGACAGGGGUCGCUUAGGUCCAAAGCUGAGCGGGUCAGUUUAGCCGAGCUGGGCGGCCAGACAGACAGACAGAAGGAGGAAAACACGGCUGGGGUGGAUGUCUGAGUCUGCAG